GCAAGUCAUUGGGAAUGUAAACCCAAAGGCAUAAUGAAAGUAAAGAAUUCGAUUGCGAAUUUGAGGAGAGAUCAAGGGCAGAGAUGGGGUUUCGUAAGACUCACUGUCUCUGUUUUGCGCAUCUCCUGGACGUCUAUACCUCUGAAGGUUGGGCGUACCAAGAGCAUAUACGUUGGGACCCGAAAGGUGGUGAACUAUGCCUGAUCAGAACGAAGUCAGGGGAAACUCUGAUGGAGGUUCGUAGCGAUUCUGACGUGCAAAUCGAUCGUCGGAACU
This 276-nucleotide ribosomal RNA is filed under the name Isotomurus maculatus. Its description in RNAcentral is "D3 fragment of large subunit of ribosomal RNA". It matches the Rfam family "Eukaryotic large subunit ribosomal RNA", at positions 686 to 912 of the family's 3401-position model. Lineage: Eukaryota; Metazoa; Arthropoda; Collembola; Entomobryomorpha; Isotomidae. The record is from RNAcentral.